Molecule: long non-coding RNA, 539 nt
Filed under: Cavia porcellus (domestic guinea pig)
Lineage: Eukaryota; Metazoa; Chordata; Mammalia; Rodentia; Caviidae
Description: lncRNA (ENSCPOG00000031289.1)
Source: RNAcentral
GAAAACUUGCGCGCAGGCAGACUCUCGCGUUCUUUCCGAGGUCGACCUCGUGUGUGGAAGUCAUGGCUGUUCGCCUGCGUGCCGAACCUGACCCUUUGACUUCUGCAAAGGCGAGUUCAAAAGAAAAGGAGACUGUCUGGGAUCUAAGUGUUCCCCAAGAAAGCAGAAAUGGUGUAAUGGUCUAUCUGUGGUUUACAUUUUGUUCUGAAGCUAAGUUCAACUGAAUGCAUGCAUGCUGGUCUAAGUCCAUUUAGGGUGCUGACUGUGGACUUUGAAAGAAAUCAUAUGAAAAUUCAUCUUACAGUGUUGAGAUGAAGGAUCUUCAUGAUGAAAUUGCCAUAAAUAGUACAUUCUCGGUCUCAGUUUCUGAGGCUCAAAAAGGAUCCUUGGGUAGCUGCACUUCGUUGGCGGGCCCGGACCCAAAAUGUAUCAUUCAUGUUGUUUUUUUUGUUUGUUUGUUUGUUUUUUUUGUAUUUUUACCGGUACCAGGGAUCGAACUCACGACCACAGACUUGCAAGGCAUGCGCUUAUGCCGCUGA